GAUGAACGCUGGCGGCAGGCCUAAUACAUGCAAGUCGAACGGGAACAAGAUGAGAGCUUGCUUUGGAUUGGAGAGAGUGGCGUACGGGUGCGUAACGCGUGAGCAACCUACCCUUGUCAGGGGGAUAGCCCGGCGAAAGUCGGAUAAAGACCAAAUGACAUAAUUGAGAGGCAUCUUUCGAUGAGAAAGGAUUGAUGGGACAAGGAGGGGCUCGCGUGACAUUAGCUAGUUGGUAAGGUAACGGCGUACCAAGGCUACGAUGCCUAGGUGCGCUGAGAGGAGACCCCCCCACACUUGUACUGAGACACGGACCCCACCCCUACGGGAGGCAGCAGUAAGUACUAUUGUUCAAUGGACGGAAGUCUGACCCAGCCACGCCGCGUGCAGGAAUCCGGCCCUAUUGGUUCUAAACUGCUUUUAUACGGGAACAAUCGUCGUUACUUGUACCGGUCUGAGUGUACCUUAAGAAUAAGGCUCGGCUAACUCCGUG
Molecule: ribosomal RNA, 490 nt
Filed under: uncultured bacterium
Lineage: Bacteria
Description: partial 16S ribosomal RNA
Rfam family: Bacterial small subunit ribosomal RNA
Source: RNAcentral